RNAcentral lists this ribosomal RNA (505 nucleotides) under uncultured bacterium. Its description in RNAcentral is "partial 16S ribosomal RNA". It matches the Rfam family "Bacterial small subunit ribosomal RNA", at positions 28 to 507 of the family's 1533-position model. The record is from RNAcentral.
GACGAACGCUGGCGGCGUGCCUAAUACAUGCAAGUAGAACGCACAGUUUAUACCGUAGCUUGCUACACCAUAGACUGUGAGUUGCGAACGGGUGAGUAACGCGUAGGUAACCUGCCUGGUAGCGGGGGAUAACUAUUGGAAACGAUAGCUAAUACCGCAUAAUAUUGAUUAUUGCAUGAUAAUUGAUUGAAAGAUGCUAUUGCAUCACUACCAGAUGGACCUGCGUUGUAUUAGCUAGUAGGUGAGGUAACGGCUCACCUAGGCGACGAUACAUAGCCGACCUGAGAGGGUGAUCGGCCACACUGGGACUGAGACACGGCCCAGACUCCUACGGGAGGCAGCAGUAGGGAAUCUUCGGCAAUGGACGAAAGUCUGACCGAGCAACGCCGCGUGAGUGAAGAAGGGUUUCGGAUCGUAAAGCUCUGUUGUAAGAGAAGAGCGGGUGUGAGAGUGGAAAGUUCACACUGUGACGGUAUCUUACCAGAAAGGGACGGCUAACUACGUG